GUGUGCACAUUGGCAGCAUAUAUACUAAAAUUGUAGUGAUACAGAGAUCAUCAGUGUGACCCUCAUGCAAGAAUAACAUGCACCUUUGUGAAGCGCUUCAUAUAUAU
Cercocebus atys (sooty mangabey) is the source of this 107-nucleotide small nuclear RNA. NCBI's taxonomy places the organism in Eukaryota, Metazoa, Chordata, Mammalia, Primates, Cercopithecidae. The record is from Ensembl.